GUCGUAAAUCUCUUUCGCAGUCGCUUUUGUUCCUCAACGUUCUUCUCUGUCUCUCUUUCAUCCUUUCUUUUAUCUUCUUUCUCAAUCUCUCUCUCUCUCCUCCUUCCUCAUCUUCUUUCUCCUCCUUCCUCUAUUCAUGUUCACGGCACGUCGGUGGGUCGAACCUAGCAACGGUGGCAAUGGCGCAAGGAGCUGAUACAAACCACCUCUCGUCGUUUCCCCCUCACGAAAUGAUUUUCCCUGAAGUGGAGCAAACCUGGGUACGGGAUUUAACUCAGGUAUUAUGGGCUUUGUGGCCAUGUGAAGGUUGGGUAUGGUGCUGAGUUUGAUGAUGAUGAGGACCAAGAAGCCAGAAUUUGGUUCCUAAGGCACAUUCGGAAUUUGAGAUCGCAGUUGCAGUAACUU
Long non-coding RNA from Chenopodium quinoa (quinoa), 405 nucleotides. RefSeq lists it as uncharacterized. NCBI's taxonomy places the organism in Eukaryota, Viridiplantae, Streptophyta, Magnoliopsida, Caryophyllales, Amaranthaceae. The record is from RefSeq and is a predicted model, not a curated record. The transcript is spliced from 3 exons.